RNAcentral lists this ribosomal RNA (468 nucleotides) under uncultured bacterium. RNAcentral describes it as "partial 16S ribosomal RNA". It matches the Rfam family "Bacterial small subunit ribosomal RNA", at positions 28 to 507 of the family's 1533-position model. The record is from RNAcentral.
GACGAACGCUGGCGGCGUGCUUAACACAUGCAAGUCGAACGGAAAGGCCCUGCUUUUGUGGGGUGCUCGAGUGGCGAACGGGUGAGUAACACGUGAGUAACCUGCCCUUGACUUUGGGAUAACUUCAGGAAACUGGGGCUAAUACCGGAUAGGAGCUCCUGCUGCAUGGUGGGGGUUGGAAAGUUUCGGCGGUUGGGGAUGGACUCGCGGCUUAUCAGCUUGUUGGUGGGGUAGUGGCUUACCAAGGCUUUGACGGGUAGCCGGCCUGGGAGGGUGACCGGCCACAUUGGGACUGAGAUACGGGCCAGACUCCUACGGGAGGCAGCAGUGGGGAAUAUUGCACGAUGGGCGGAAGCCUGAUGCAGCAACGCCGCGUGCGGGAUGACGGCCUUCGGGUUGUAAACCGCUUUCGCCUGUGACGAAGCGUGAGUGACGGUAAUGGGUAAAGAAGCACCGGCUAACUACGUG